GAGUUUGAUCUUGGCUCAGGACGAACGCUGGCGGCGUGCUUAACACAUGCAAGUCGAGCGGAAAGGCCCUUCGGGGUACUCGAGCGGCGAACGGGUGAGUAACACGUGAGCAACCUGCCCUAGGCUUUGGGAUAACCCUCGGAAGCGGGGGCUAAUACCGAAUAUUACUUGGUCUCGCAUGAGGUUGGGUGGAAAGUUUUUCGGCCUAGGAUGGGCUCGCGGCCUAUCAGCUUGUUGGUGGGGUAAUGGCCUACCAAGGCGACGACGGGUAGCCGGCCUGAGAGGGCGACCGGCCACACUGGGACUGAGACACGGCCCGGACUCCUACGGGAGGCAGCAGUGGGGAAUAUUGCACAAUGGGCGGAAGCCUGAUGCAGCGACGCCGCGUGAGGGAUGACGGCCUCGGUUGGUAACCUACUUUCUAGCAGGACGAAGACGAGAGUGACGGUACC
RNAcentral lists this ribosomal RNA (452 nucleotides) under uncultured bacterium. RNAcentral's name for it is "bacterial SSU rRNA". It matches the Rfam family "Bacterial small subunit ribosomal RNA", at positions 9 to 479 of the family's 1533-position model. The record is from RNAcentral.